UACAGAGGUCCCAAGCGUUGUUCGGAUUCACUGGGCGUAAAGGGUGCGUAGGCGGUGGGGUAAGUCUGGUGUGAAAGCUCGGAGCUCAACUCCGAAAUGUCAUCAGAAACUACUUCACUUGAGGUUUGGAGGGGGGACUGGAAUUCUCGGUGUAGCAGUGAAAUGCGUAGAUAUCGAGAGGAACACCAGUGGCGAAGGCGAGUCCCUGGACAAAUCCUGACGCUGAGGCACGAAAGCUAGGGGAGCAAACAGG
RNAcentral lists this ribosomal RNA (253 nucleotides) under uncultured bacterium. RNAcentral describes it as "partial 16S ribosomal RNA". It matches the Rfam family "Bacterial small subunit ribosomal RNA", at positions 524 to 776 of the family's 1533-position model. The record is from RNAcentral.